RNAcentral lists this ribosomal RNA (497 nucleotides) under uncultured bacterium. RNAcentral's name for it is "partial 16S ribosomal RNA". It matches the Rfam family "Bacterial small subunit ribosomal RNA", at positions 28 to 507 of the family's 1533-position model. The record is from RNAcentral.
GAUGAACGCUGGCGGCGUGCCUAAUACAUGCAAGUCGAGCGAACAGAUGAGGAGUUUGCUCCUCUGACGUUAGCGGCGGACGGGUGAGUAACACGUGGAUAACCUACCUAUAAGACUGGGAUAACUUCGGGAAACCGGAGCUAACACCGGAUAAUAUAUUGAACCGCAUGGUUCAUUAGUGAAAGACGGUUUUGCUGUCCCUUAUAGAUGGAUCCCCGCCGCAUUAGCUAGUUGGUAAGGUAACGGCUUACCAAGGCAACGAUGCGUAGCCGACCUGAGAGGGUGAUCGGCCACACUGGAACUGAGACACGGUCCAGACUCCUACGGGAGGCAGCAGUAGGGAAUCUUCCGCAAUGGGCGAAAGCCUGACGGAGCAACGCCGCGUGAGUGAUGAAGGUCUUCGGAUCGUAAAACUCUGUUAUUAGGGAAGAACAAAUGUGUAAGUAACUAUGCACGUCUUGACGGUACCUAAUCAGAAAGCCACGGCUAACUACGUG